Tachysurus fulvidraco (yellow catfish) is the source of this 4135-nucleotide RNA transcript. It is a transcript of the gene named aminopeptidase O (putative), with no coding region annotated. The record is from RefSeq and is a predicted model, not a curated record. Lineage: Eukaryota; Metazoa; Chordata; Actinopteri; Siluriformes; Bagridae. The transcript is spliced from 17 exons.
UUCUGUUAGUGGUCUGGCGUUGUUAUUUUCUCUCUACCCGUUUUCCUGAAAUACGGGUAAAGAGGAGCCUCAUUGGCUAACUUUAUCUUACGCUAAAGUUUUUGUCCAAUUAGAUGCAGAGGAUGCAGCAUGGACUUAUAUUAGUGCAGGAGGCGGGAUGUUAUGUUUCCGGAUUGCGGUUUGGAAAAAAAAAAACACCGGGUACUGAGUGAUACAGAGGGACAAUACUUGAGGCCUGGAUUAUUCAUAUAAAUGCCAGUUACCAUGGAAUAAGUAUCCGAACAUUAUUUACAUCAUACCAUACCAUAUACUGGGAUGUUAUGCUGAACAAAAAAUUAUACGUAUGUUGAAAGAUGGAGUCUAAUCAGCAGGUUGAUUUGGAGCCCAAUAAGGAUGACCUGCCUUUGAGAGCUAACACAAACCAUAUACUUGUCAGACACUAUGUGCUGGACCUCAGUGUUGACUUUCAGACAGAGGUCAUUGGAGGAAGUAUUGUUCUGUUCCUCGAGCCUUGUAAAGGACCCAGCAGGACAGUGGAGUUAGAUUUGGUAUCCCAAGUCCAAAAAGGUGAUCUAAACACUCCAUAUAUUUAUGGUGAAAAUGCCAGAGGCUUUAGAAGUCCUUCACCUGAACCUGAAAUCUUAUCACAAGGAAGCCAAAAUGAUGCCAGGAACACGUCAUGGGAUGAUGUGAGUAAAGACUUCACCUUGAUUUUAGAUUGUUGUGACCUGUCUGUGUCCAAAGUGGAAGAAGUGGAUGUGUGCACUGUUUCUGAACUCUGGAACCUUCUAGAAGUUGAUAAGGUGGCUCUGGACUCUACUCAGGAUUCCUCGUUUGGUUUAGUGCAGAGACUCAUGUCUAUUCCUUCAGCCAGAUGGAGACAGCAGCAGGAUCUGUAUCUCCAGUGUAGCUGUGCCCAGGCUGUCAAUCCAGCUGAGCCUUUACUUUUUCACAUUGACAAGUGGAGCCUUCAAAUCAGGAAGAAGGGGGUUCAAUCCCCUCAUGCCUUCCCUUGUGCACUCAGGAUCUGGUACAAGACAAAGCCCUCAGGGGGCUCUGUAAGGUGGACCAAGGACCAGGAUGGCAGGUGUUGUGUUUACACCAUGGGCUCACCAAUCAAUAACAGGGCUCUCUUCCCGUGCCAAGAACCACCUGUUGCAAUGUCAACGUGGCAAGCCCAUGUAAAAGCCCCGUGUGAAUAUAUGGUUCUGAUGAGUGGUGAGAAUCAGCCUGUUCCUGUACCUGACAAGAAAGGUUUUUUCCAGUGGGAUUAUUACGUUACUAUGCCAAUGCCUGCCUCGACUUUUACUAUAGCUGUUGGUAAGUGGCAGGAAGCCAAAUCAUUGCCUCACAACCAUGAAGAGGUGAAAAGUGAGGAGCCUUGUGCAAAAUCAGACCCCAAAAACUUUGGUUCUCAGGCCAAUUUAGUAGAUAAUCAAAGCCCACAUUACAAGGAGGAAGAUGAGAAGGAGUUUUGCGCCCAUUUAGAUUAUCCAUGUCGUUUCACACACAGAGGUUCAAUCACCCAGGUGGUCAUACCCCACCGGGUUUUUGCACCAUCCUGUCACCUGAAGAAGGCUGAAUCCACACUACUGCCUCUUUUGCCUUUCUGUUUGGCUGCUGCUCACUCUGUAUUAGGCAUCCACCCAUUCUCACGCCUGGAUGUGCUCAUUGUUCCUCCAGGGUUCUCCAGUCUGGGCAUGGCCAGCCCGCAUAUCAUCUUCCUGUCACAGAGUGUGUUAGCGGGUAACAGAAUCCUGUGUGGGACAAGGCUGUGCCAUGAGAUUGCUCACUCCUGGUUUGGUUUGGCCAUCGGGGCACGGGACUGGACAGAGGAGUGGAUCAGCGAAGGUUUUGCUACAUACCUAGAAGACGUGUUCUGGGCCCAAAUCCAGCAGUCGCAAAUAGGCAGCACUGAGAAUGAGGAGCAGAAGCAGCUGAAGGCUUUGCUGAGAUGGAGAAGACUGAAGGAUGAAUUGGAGAACUCUGAAGAGGAGCUGCAGGUCCUUAGACCCAAUAAGGACACUACAGGAGAGGUCGGAGCAUCUGGAGCCUCCAUCGUGAAGCAUGCCCUUAACCCAGGAAAACCAUUCAUGCAAGUGCACUACCUCAAAGGUUACUUCCUCCUGAUGUUCCUGGCUGGGAAAGUGGGUGAGGAUGAGUUCUUGAACUUCUUCAGACAUUUCACGAGAAGAUUUCAUGGGCAGCUCAUUCUUUCUCAGGACUUCCUGCAGAUGUUUCUGGAUACAUUCCCAUCUUUGAAAAGUCAAGGCCUCAGUCUUGAAUCUAUUUACUCAGACUGGCUGGAUACACCUGGAAUUCCGAAGUGGCUUGGAGAAGCCAGCUCGACGUGGUCACUCUCUCCACCAGUCGCACAAGUCUCUGAGGAGGUUGUAAAAUGGAUGCACCUCAGUGGCGGCACCCGAAAGGGCACCAAGCGGAAGAGAGCAGGGCCCAAGGUGAACUUCAAAGAGUUGAAUCCGUGGCAGUUGGUCCUGCUGUUGGAAUUCCUUCUGGAAGAGACAGAGCUGAGGGUGUCCUGUCUUAACCUGCUGCAAGCCACAUACAAACUACGCAGCCAGGAUGCUGAGAUACAUCAUUUCCAUUUUAGUCAUAACAAUCUGCACCAGUGAUCUGUGUAUCGGACCAUUCUGUUGCUGGCCAGUCCAGGAUUAUUGUCCUUGUGGCUAAUUAGAUUCAUAUGAUGCUGAAAAUCAGACAGAUUUUAAGAAAAUAAUUCAUCCUUAUCAAAAAACCUAUUUAUUUGUUUAAUAGAACCACAUUAAUUCUGGAGCUGACUGUAGCUGCACCCUAACCUUUCCAGUAUUUAAUCUGUGAUUUGGUUACACUUUGCUGCAGCCAGUUAGGCUACUCUGUGAUUCUGCUCCAUUCAGAGCAGGCCAGCUUCUUUGCGGGAGCGAAAUCUGGCAGAUCAGCAGUAAGCCACCAGCCCUGUUCUUUUGUAAUGGAGCAGUUUUAGAAGGCUAACAGAUGGAAAGUGAUAGGAGGUGGUAAGCACAGUGAGUCCCAGACUACCACGGCUUGUUUCAGCCCGGAGCCAAUGGGCAGGUUUUCAGCCGAACCUUCCAGGAAAAACAAAAGGCUCUCUAAAAAUAAAUUGGGUUAUUACUUACCACUCCCCCUCUCCUCUCAUCCUUCCUUCUCCCAUUCUGCCUUCCUCCCUCCUCCUCUUCCUCCCUGCUACUUCUGCAUGAUAGCAGACAGAAUUUUCCAGCCUGCCAUUUAUUGCUACACUUAGGUAAUGUAGGCUUUUAGCAUGGACUUUAUUAGCUUCAAGGGCAGGGUGGUGCUCAGCGCUCAAAACAUACCACAUUUUUCUUCAGAUUGACAAAUAAUAUUGAGACGUUUCUUCCAAUUUUCCAACAAUCAGCUUUAUAGGAACACAGUAGUCAGUACUGAGCGUCCCAUCAUGAGGCGGGGGAAAUUAUGAGAAAAUGCAUUCACAGAAAAUUAGAUUCAUUUCUUUGAUGCUUUAUAGUUUGUGAAUGUGAUCUGUUCAAUAACCUAAAAUGCCUCAACAUGAAGCAGAUGCAGUUGUACUAUGCUUCAGGGCAGUAUGUUGUGUUUGAAGGGACUGUAAAUCUUGUGUAGCUCACCCAGGCUGCCAGCUCUAGCUUUCAGUGUGAUGCUUUGUGACAAGGUGAGCUGAAGUCUAAGGUUUAUAGCAAAAUUGACACUGGGUCACAGUUUGGUUUAGACUUUGGUCAGUUUUCCCCCUCAGGCAAGUUUUCAUUCUUUUGACUAAUGAAGUUGUAUUGUGCCCAAAAAUUUAUUUGAAUCAUGACGGAAUCUUUGAGCUGUGCUUGAGUUUCCCACAGAAAUCUACACAACUCUCCGAACCUGGCGCUUCCCUUCACUCCCAGGAAUGCAGCGCAUGGCGUGUGAGCAUGGUGUGAAACAUCGCUGGUGUGAGCUGGUGGUCAAGCAUAAAUAUGCAGCUGCAUAUAGAGAUGUUGAACACUUCCUCAUUCAUGACCAGGCCAUGGGUGUAUAUCUGUUUGGUGAGCUGAUGCUGCAGGAAGACGGGCGUCAGCAAGCUUUAGCAAGACACUGCUUGUCAGCCAUCAAAGAUGAUAUGGACCAAUCAGCAUGCAAGAUUGUGGAAGAAAUGAUU